UGAAAUUGAGGAUUUAAAGAGGGAGGCAGUGAGAACGCUGUCAAGGCAGCGGGGAAAUACAGACAACAGGGAAAAACCUACGUUGUGGAGGACGGAGACGUCAUCUUUUUCAAAUUCAACACGCCGAACCAGCCCAAGACUAAGAAGUGACUCAGUCACAGUCUGUUGGCUACCAGAAUGGACUGUGCCGUUAGAUAAUUCGUCUUCUUUGUUUUAGACAGAAUGAAGCUGGAGAUUGUGAUUGAUACCUGCCAGGUCGGCUCAGUCCUACCUACUGCCCACUCUGCCACAUUAUCCCUGUUUGUUUUUGGUUCAGGAGAAUUCCAUACAGUCCCCCUUGCCAAAGAACAGGUCCACUAAACGUUGACAGCUUUUGGUAGGAGCAUUUGAAGAAGCGUAUUACUCUCUUGAUACUUCAUUAAUCUCCAUCACUGGUGCCAGGCCUGACACAGCUGACAGCAGGGACAAUGCGACCUGCUCCUCUCCCCCUUCCAGAGAUAAUGCAUGUUUUACAGUAGCCCAGAUGUCUAUACUCAAUAAAACAUUUGACAAAAACCA
Molecule: non-coding RNA, 558 nt
Organism: Salvelinus sp. IW2-2015
Lineage: Eukaryota; Metazoa; Chordata; Actinopteri; Salmoniformes; Salmonidae
Source: RefSeq, a predicted model, not a curated record